RNAcentral lists this ribosomal RNA (460 nucleotides) under uncultured bacterium. RNAcentral describes it as "partial 16S ribosomal RNA". It matches the Rfam family "Bacterial small subunit ribosomal RNA", at positions 338 to 795 of the family's 1533-position model. The record is from RNAcentral.
CCUACGGGAGGCGGCAGUGAGGAAUAUUGGUCAAUGGACGAGAGUCUGAACCAGCCAAGUAGCGUGAAGGAUGACUGCCCUAUGGGUUGUAAACUUCUUUUAUAUGGGAAUAAAAUGUUCCACGUGUGGGAUGUUGUAUGUACCAUAUGAAUAAGGAUCGGCUAACUCCGUGCCAGCAGCCGCGGUAAUACGGAGGAUCCGAGCGUUAUCCGGAUUUAUUGGGUUUAAAGGGAGCGUAGGUGGGUUGGUAAGUCAGUUGUGAAAGUUUGCGGCUCAACCGUAGAAUUGCAGUUGAAACUGGCAGUCUUGAGUACAGUAGAGGUGGGCGGAAUUCGUGGUGUAGCGGUGAAAUGCUUAGAUAUCACGAAGAACUCCGAUUGCGAAGGCAGCUCACUGGACUGCAACUGACACUGAGGCUCGAAAGUGUGGGUAUCAAACAGGAUUAGAUACCCUUGUAGUC